AGGUAGUAAUAAUAAUAAAACCUUUAUUAUGGCGGCAUAACUUAUUUUUAGAGGAACUUGUUUACUAAUCGAUAAUCCACGAUAAAUUUUACUUAAAUAUAUAACUUAUAUAUCGUCAUCAAGAGAAUCUAUAUCUCAAAUAUUCGUAAUAAUAAUUAAAAAGUUAGGUCAAGGUGUAGUCUUAACUUAAGAUCAAAUGAGUUACUUUAAUAAAAAUUUAAGACUAAGGCUUUUAACAAAUCCUUUAAAAAAGGAUUUAAUAUUAAUAUUAUAAUAUUAAUUACAUUUGAAUAAAAUAAUAAAUGUGU
RNAcentral lists this ribosomal RNA (308 nucleotides) under Clubiona terrestris. RNAcentral describes it as "partial 12S ribosomal RNA". The record is from RNAcentral. Lineage: Eukaryota; Metazoa; Arthropoda; Arachnida; Araneae; Clubionidae.